UCCCGGUUGGUGUAACCGGCAGCAUCGUGGACUUUGGAUCCGCGAGCCCAGGUUCGAAUCCUGGACCGGGAG
RNAcentral lists this transfer RNA (72 nucleotides) under Amycolatopsis rubida. Its description in RNAcentral is "tRNA-Gln". It matches the Rfam family "tRNA". Rfam says of the family: Transfer RNA (tRNA) molecules are approximately 80 nucleotides in length. Lineage: Bacteria; Bacillati; Actinomycetota; Actinomycetes; Pseudonocardiales; Pseudonocardiaceae. The record is from RNAcentral. RNAcentral also lists the same sequence under 1 other name.